This 69-nucleotide transfer RNA is filed under the name Sphaerodactylus townsendi. RNAcentral describes it as "tRNA-Ala". It matches the Rfam family "tRNA". From Rfam's summary of the family: Transfer RNA (tRNA) molecules are approximately 80 nucleotides in length. The record is from RNAcentral. Lineage: Eukaryota; Metazoa; Chordata; Lepidosauria; Squamata; Sphaerodactylidae.
GUUGUAGCUCAGUGGCAGAGCAUCUGGUUGGCUUGCAGAAGGUCCCAAGUUCAAUCCCCAGCAUCUCCA